CGGGGCUGGAGACACACUCCUGAGAGGGAGAUGGGAGAGAGGGCGCCUCGCGGAUCCCGAGGAAGGCUGAAGACAGGAGAAGGGAGGGGUCGCACACGUUAAACGCUGCCGAAAGGCCAGGAGAGAUUAAGACAGAAAUGAAUCACUGGAUUCGGCCAGGCUGCGGUUAUUGACAACAGUGGGAAGAGCAGUGAGCCUCACAGGGUCAGGGGGAAGACAGGGGAUCCCGAAGAUAACGUCUGCUACGAACUCAAUUGCAUCCGCCCCGGGCCCUAAGUUGAAGCCCUAAUCCCCACGUUGACUGCAUUUGGAGAAGGACCUUCAGCACAUGAUGGAGGUGGCCCCGGAGAGGGUCAGCGAGGGGCCUCCACUGUCUGAGUCCGCUCCUGGCAACGCCUGCUCUCUGCACUCAGAGGCCCGGUCCCGGCAGCUGCCACGUUGCUCAGAAGUUCUGGCAGGGGGAGCCUGAAACCCCUGUCUGCUGGCGACACUCCCGGAGCAGCAGGAAAUCUCUACAUUUUAUUUUUUUUCUUAACAGACAAAAGUAUUUGACUCCAGAAUGAUUUCCAGGAAUUACAGUAUGAGAACUUAGUCUUUGAGAUUUUUAUUUUCUUCUUAAAAAAAUAAAAAUGAAAUCAAAGCAGAAGACACUGGUUGAGCAGACAGCACACUAGCACAUUCCACUUCGCAACAAAACCUGCGUGUUUUCUGCCCGGUCUACCUCAGACAGGGAUGGUGGGCUUCAUAGCCUUUCCUGUGGAAGGAGUUCAGGGCGGGAGGGAAGUGCUGGGGUAGGAGGGGCAGGCAGAACCUGGAAACUGCGCCCCAUUCUUUCUUCUCGGAACUCCAUUGCCAGAGGGCUUGGAGUGCUUCUCGGCGAUUUGGCAUCUGCUUCUCCUCUGCCCCUCAUUCAGAGUUCUCAUUGCAAGAAAAGCAGGGAAAAGGUUCAAAAAACCCUUCAGACUUGGAGCCGUUCCUCGGUGAUAAUUGAACCACCAGAGGUGCUGGCAGGGCCAUGGCGAGAGGCACCUCUAGGAAAUCUCACACAACCCACACUGCUCCCCUCUCCUGCAUGGCAGUGACCCUCCCAUAAAAGGGUACAGCCUGUUGUGCCAGCUUUGCAACUGGGAUCAUUGCAGUCUCUGGCUUUUUGACUCCAGGCGGGCUCCGUGCCCUCCGGGGCCUCUUCUUCCUUGUCAGGCCAGUGGGAGCCACAGAGGCCUCAUUGGCUUCCUAUGAAUAUUAAAUGGGAUUCUCUGUGGGGGAAGCUUCCAUAAGGCAGGAAGGGGUCCCCGGUUGUUGGCUAUUAGUGUUAUUUUCUUUUAAAUCAUCUGUGCUCCUUCAAAGACGACGUAAGAAGCUUGUGCCCUGGCGUUGCAGAAAUCUCUGGCUGUAGGGAUUAAACCUACAUGUCUUCCUGAUGGGGUGGUGAGGACGUAAACGGUGAAUAGUGCCAGCCACAGGGAGCAUUGCAGAGAGUAACCAAGUGUGUGAUAAACAUGCUGUCAUAUGUGUGUAAACGGCCAAGAGACCACUGCUUUUGCCUGAGUGACCUCCGCAAGGACACAGAAAUAAAACAUACAAAAAAGUUGGCACUGAGUGGUCUAGAAUCUUCCAUCUCUGUUUUUUCUUG
RNAcentral lists this long non-coding RNA (1633 nucleotides) under Homo sapiens (human). RNAcentral's name for it is "long intergenic non-protein coding RNA 1615". The record is from RNAcentral. Lineage: Eukaryota; Metazoa; Chordata; Mammalia; Primates; Hominidae.